Molecule: ribosomal RNA, 253 nt
Filed under: uncultured bacterium
Lineage: Bacteria
Description: partial 16S ribosomal RNA
Rfam family: Bacterial small subunit ribosomal RNA
Source: RNAcentral
UACGUAGGUGGCGAGCGUUGUCCGGAAUCAUUGGGCGUAAAGAGCGCGUAGGUGGUUUGUCAGGUCUGAUGUGAAAUCCUGGGGCUCAACUCCAGAACUGCAUCGGAAACCGGCUUACUAGAGUCUGGGAGAGGAGAGUGGAAUUCCUGGUGUAGCGGUGAAAUGCGUAGAUAUCAGGAGGAACACCAGUAGCGAAGGCGGCUCUCUGGAACAGUACUGACGCUGAGGCGCGAAAGCUAGGGGAGCGAACAGG